GAUGAACGCUAGCUACAGGCUUAACACGUGCAAGUCGAGGGGCAGCAUGAACUUAGCUUGCUAAGUUUGAUGGCGACCGGCGCACGGGUGAGUAACACGUAUCCAACCUGCCGAUGACUCGGGGAUAGCCUUUCGAAAGAAAGAUUAAUACCCGAUGGCAUAGUUCUUCCGCAUGGUAGAACUAUUAAAGAAUUUCGGUCAUCGAUGGGGAUGCGUUCCAUUAGGUUGUUGGCGGGGUAACGGCCCACCAAGCCUUCGAUGGAUAGGGGUUCUGAGAGGAAGGUCCCCCACAUUGGAACUGAGACACGGUCCAAACUCCUACGGGAGGCAGCAGUGAGGAAUAUUGGUCAAUGGACGAGAGUCUGAACCAGCCAAGUAGCGUGAAGGAUGACUGCCCUAUGGGUUGUAAACUUCUUUUAUACGGGAAUAAGGUGAGGCACGUGUGCCUUUUUGUAUGUACCGUAUGAAUAAGGAUCGGCUAACUCCGUG
RNAcentral lists this ribosomal RNA (489 nucleotides) under uncultured bacterium. Its description in RNAcentral is "partial 16S ribosomal RNA". It matches the Rfam family "Bacterial small subunit ribosomal RNA", at positions 28 to 507 of the family's 1533-position model. The record is from RNAcentral.